This 465-nucleotide long non-coding RNA is filed under the name Vigna radiata. RNAcentral's name for it is "long non-coding RNA (VRAD_LNC000770)". The record is from RNAcentral. Lineage: Eukaryota; Viridiplantae; Streptophyta; Magnoliopsida; Fabales; Fabaceae.
GAGCACUGUGAGAUUAAGGCAUAGCUAAAUCAGUGUUUCCCUUAUCAACAAUCUCAACAAUAUAUUUCCAAAGUUAAAACUUAAGAAUCAAAAAGUGUGAUUAUGAUCCUCAAAACACGUCUAGAGCCUUCAUAUAAAGUCUACCUCUAGAUGAAUUGGCCACUUGGCCACUUGAUCUGCUCUGAACCACGCCCCAUCAAUCUCACUCCAUCUUUAGAUUGCUUCCCAAGUACCCCUGCAAAGUAAUAAUAAUGACCACAAGAAUGAGAAAGCACAUGAAGCAAAAACAAUUCCAGAAGAACUGAAAAGGUGAGGUAGCAAGUAUAAAACCUUAUGUGUUUUCAUUGUAAUCAGUUCGGAAGAAUGUAUUUUCCCAGCAUUAAUAAACUUUGCAAUUCUACCGAAACCUAUUGGCUACAGAAAAAGAUGCAUAAAAAAAUUUAACAAUGUCGACAUAUAAAUGAC